RNAcentral lists this ribosomal RNA (766 nucleotides) under bacterium enrichment culture clone B1-51. RNAcentral describes it as "bacterial SSU rRNA". It matches the Rfam family "Bacterial small subunit ribosomal RNA", at positions 26 to 774 of the family's 1533-position model. The record is from RNAcentral.
GGAUGAAAGCGUAGGGGGCAAGGCUUAUUACCUGCCAAUCGGAACCGGGAUUUGGGGGUAGCAAAUACUUUGAUGUGGAAGUGGGCGCCACGGGUGGCGUACGGCGUAAGCCAACCUACCUUUUACCAGGGGAAUAGCCCCAAAAAAUCGGGAUUAAUACUCCGUAACAUUGCGGUGUGGCAUCACACUGCACUUAAAGCUGAGGCGGUUAAAGAUGGGCAUGCGUGACAUUAGCUAGUUGGUGAGGUAACGGCUCACCAAGGCAACGAUGUCUAGGGGUCCUGAGAGGGUUAUCCCCCACACUGGUACUGAGACACGGACCAGACUCCUACGGGAGGCAGCAGUAAGGAAUAUUGGUCAAUGGGCGCAAGCCUGAACCAGCCAUGCCGCGUGCAGGAAGACGGCCCUAUGGGUUGUAAACUGCUUUUGUCAGGGAAUAAACCCCCGCUCGUGAGCGGGGCUGAAGGUACCUGAAGAAUAAGCAUCGGCUAACUCCGUGCCAGCAGCCGCGGUAAUACGGAGGAUGCAAGCGUUAUCCGGAUUCAUUGGGUUUAAAGGGUGCGCAGGCGGAUCGGUAAGUCAGGGGUGAAAUCCCACAGCUCAACUGUGGAACUGCCUUUGAUACUGUCAGUCUAGAGUAUAGUUGAAGUUGGCGGAAUGUGUCAUGUAGCGGUGAAAUGCUUAGAUAUGACACAGAACACCGAUCGCGAAGGCAGCUAGCUAAGCUAUAACUGACGCUCAUGCACGAAAGCGUGGGGAUCAAACA